RNAcentral lists this ribosomal RNA (497 nucleotides) under uncultured bacterium. RNAcentral's name for it is "partial 16S ribosomal RNA". It matches the Rfam family "Bacterial small subunit ribosomal RNA", at positions 28 to 507 of the family's 1533-position model. The record is from RNAcentral.
GAUGAACGCUGGCGGCGUGCCUAAUACAUGCAAGUCGAGCGAACGGACGAGAAGCUUGCUUCUCUGAUGUUAGCGGCGGACGGGUGAGUAACACGUGGAUAACCUACCUAUAAGACUGGGAUAACUUCGGGAAACCGGCGCUAAUACCGGAUAAUAUUUUGAACCGCAUGGUUCAAAAGUGAAAGACGGUCUUGCUGUCACUUAUAGAUGGAUCCGCGCUGCAUUAGCUAGUUGGUAAGGUAACGGCUUACCAAGGCAACGAUGCAUAGCCGACCUGAGAGGGUGAUCGGCCACACUGGAACUGAGACACGGUCCAGACUCCUACGGGAGGCAGCAGUAGGGAAUCGUCCGCAAUGGGCGAAAGCCUGACGGAGCAACGCCGCGUGAGUGAUGAAGGUCUUCGGAGCGUAAAACUCUGUUAUUAGGGAAGAACAUAUGUGUAAGUAACUGUGCACAGCUUGACGGUACCUAAUCAGAAAGCCACGGCUAACUACGUG